Molecule: ribosomal RNA, 403 nt
Filed under: bacterium
Lineage: Bacteria
Description: partial 16S ribosomal RNA
Rfam family: Bacterial small subunit ribosomal RNA
Source: RNAcentral
UGGGGAAUAUUGCACAAUGGAGGGAACUCUGAUGCAGCGACGCCGCGUGAACGAAGAAGGCUUUCGAGUCGUAAAGUUCUUUUAUAUGGGAAGAUAAUGACGGUACCAUAAGAAGAAGCCCCGGCUAACUACGUGCCAGCAGCCGCGGUAAUACGUAGGGGGCUAGCGUUGUCCGGAAUCACUGGGCGUAAAGGGUUCGCAAGCGGAAAUGCAAGUCAGGUGUAAAAGGCAGUAGCUUAACUACUGUAAGCAUUUGAAACUGCAUAUCUUGAGAAGAGUAGAGGUGAGUGGAAUUUUUAGUGUAGCGGUGAAAUGAGUAGAUAUUAAAAAGAAUACCGGUGGCGAAGGCGACUUACUGGGCUCAUUCUGACGCUGAGGAACGAAAGCGUAGGUAGCAAACAGG